RNAcentral lists this non-coding RNA (136 nucleotides) under Carlito syrichta (Philippine tarsier). The record is from RNAcentral. Lineage: Eukaryota; Metazoa; Chordata; Mammalia; Primates; Tarsiidae.
GGCUGCUCUGCUGAAGGUAGUGAGUUAUCUCAAUCAAUUGUUUGCAGCCAGUUUUACAGAUUGAAAUCCUUGUUCUACUCUUUCCCCCUGCUAUUUAUUUUUAAGACUAGUCACUAGUGCACUCGACUAGUCUUAA